GAUGAACGCUGGCGGCGUGCCUAAUACAUGCAAGUCGAGCGAACGGACGAGAAGCUUGCUUCUCUGAUGUUAGCGGCGGACGGGUGAGUAACACGUGGAUAACCUACCUAUAAGACUGGGAUAACUUCGGGAAACCGGAGCUAAUACCGGAUAAUAUUUUGAACCGCAUGGUUCAAAAGUGAAAGACGGUCUUGCUGUCACUUAUAGAUGGAUCCGCGCUGCAUUAGCUAGUUGGUAAGGUAACGGCUUACCAAGGCAACGAUGCAUAGCCGACCUGAGAGGGUGAUCGGCCACACUGGAACUGAGACACGGUCCAGACUCCUACGGGAGGCAGCAGUAGGGAAUCUUCCGCAAUGGGCGAAAGCCUGACGGAGCAACGCCGCGUGAGUGAUGAAGGUCUUCGGAUCGUAAAACUCUGUUAUUAGGGAAGAACAUAUGUGUAAGUAACUGUGCACAUCUUGACGGUACCUAAUCAGAAAGCCACGGCUAACUACGUGCCAGCAGCCGCGGUAAUACGUAGGUGGCAAGCGUUAUCCGGAAUUAUUGGGCGUAAAGCGCGCGUAGGCGGUUUUUUAAGUCUGAUGUGAAAGCCCACGGCUCAACCGUGGAGGGUCAUUGGAAACUGGAAAACUUGAGUGCAGAAGAGGAAAGUGGAAUUCCAUGUGUAGCGGUGAAAUGCGCAGAGAUAUGGAGGAACACCAGUGGCGAAGGCGACUUUCUGGUCUGUAACUGACGCUGAUGUGCGAAAGCGUGGGGAUCAAACAGGAUUAGAUACCCCGGUAGUCCACGCCGUAAACGAUGAGUGCUAAGUGUUAGGGGGUUUCCGCCCCUUAGUGCUGCAGCUAACGCAUUAAGCACUCCGCCUGGGGAGUACGACCGCAAGGUUGAAACUCAAAGGAAUUGACGGGGACCCGCACAAGCGGUGGAGCAUGUGGUUUAAUUCGAAGCAACGCGAAGAACCUUACCAAAUCUUGACAUCCUUUGACAACUCUAGAGAUAGAGCCUUCCCCUUCGGGGGACAAAGUGACAGGUGGUGCAUGGUUGUCGUCAGCUCGUGUCGUGAGAUGUUGGGUUAAGUCCCGCAACGAGCGCAACCCUUAAGCUUAGUUGCCAUCAUUAAGUUGGGCACUCUAAGUUGACUGCCGGUGACAAACCGGAGGAAGGUGGGGAUGACGUCAAAUCAUCAUGCCCCUUAUGAUUUGGGCUACACACGUGCUACAAUGGACAAUANCAAGGGCAGCGAAACCGCGAGGUCAAGCAAAUCCCAUAAAGUUGUUCUCAGUUCGGAUUGUAGUCUGCAACUCGACUACAUGAAGCUGGAAUCGCUAGNUAUCGUAGAUCAGCAUGCUACGGUGGAUACGUUCCCGGGUCC
RNAcentral lists this ribosomal RNA (1372 nucleotides) under uncultured bacterium. RNAcentral's name for it is "bacterial SSU rRNA". It matches the Rfam family "Bacterial small subunit ribosomal RNA", at positions 28 to 1381 of the family's 1533-position model. The record is from RNAcentral.